This 30-nucleotide non-coding RNA is filed under the name Mus musculus (house mouse). The record is from RNAcentral. Lineage: Eukaryota; Metazoa; Chordata; Mammalia; Rodentia; Muridae.
UACUGGGAGUACAGGAGCACACACACCAGC